This 304-nucleotide ribosomal RNA is filed under the name Cormocephalus westangelasensis. RNAcentral's name for it is "partial small subunit ribosomal RNA". Lineage: Eukaryota; Metazoa; Arthropoda; Chilopoda; Scolopendromorpha; Scolopendridae. The record is from RNAcentral.
AGUCCUUUAAUUAAAAAAGUUUGGCGGUACUUAAGUCUUAUUAGAGGAAUUUGUGGUUUAAUCGAUAAUCCCCGACCAUCUUUCCUUAGUUUGUAUAUCAGUUUAUAUACCGUCGUCUUCAGAUUUCAUUCUUAGAUGCUUUCUAAAAAAAUUUUUUAAGUCAGAUCAAGGUGUAGUUUAUACUAAGGUUACCAUGAAUUACAAUAAAUGUAAUUACGAAUAUUGAUUUGCAAUAAUUAGUGGAAGUUGGAUUUAAUUGUAAAUUUUAUUUAUUAUAUAAAUUUGAAUAAGUUUUUAUGUAUGU